RNAcentral lists this non-coding RNA (120 nucleotides) under bovine gut metagenome. RNAcentral's name for it is "FMN riboswitch (RFN element)". It matches the Rfam family "FMN riboswitch aptamer (RFN element)". From Rfam's summary of the family: The RFN element is a highly conserved domain that is found frequently in the 5'-untranslated regions of prokaryotic mRNAs that encode for flavin mononucleotide (FMN) biosynthesis and transport proteins. This element is a metabolite-dependent riboswitch that directly binds FMN in the absence of proteins. The record is from RNAcentral.
CAUCUUCAGGGCAGGGUGAAAUUCCCGACCGGCGGUAAGAGCGUCGCUCAAGUCCGCGAGCCGUUAGGCUGAUCCGGUGCGAUUCCGGAACCGACAGUACAGUCUGGAUGGAAGAAGAUG